GUCUUUUUGAUUAAUAAUUUAAAGUCUAAUCUGCCCACUGAUGAUAAUAUUAAAGGGCUGCAGUAUUUUGACUGUACAAAGGUAGCAUAAUCAUUAGUCUCUUAAUUGGUGACUUGUAUGAAAGAUUUGAUGAAAUAUAUACUGUCUCUUUUUAAUUUGUAAAAUUUAAUUUUUUAGUUAAAAAGCUAAAAUAUAUUUAAAAGACGAGAAGACCCUAUAGAGUUUUAUAUUUAAUUAAAUUAGAAUUUUUUAUAAGAUUUAUAAUUUUGAUUUUUUAAAAUAUUAUGUUGGGGUGACAGAAAAAUUAAAGUAACUUUUUUUAUAAAUUUACAUUUAUAAGUGAGUAAAUGAUCCGUAAUUUACGAUUAUAAGAAAAAAUUACCUUAGGGAUAACAGCGUAAUUUUUUUUUUUAGUUCAAAUAAGAAAAAAAGUUUGCGACCUCGAUGUUGGAUUAAGAUAAAAUUUAAAUGCAAAAGUUUAAAAUUUUUGAUCUGUUCGAUCAUUAAAAUCUUACA
This 516-nucleotide ribosomal RNA is filed under the name Parnassius hardwickii (common blue apollo). RNAcentral describes it as "partial 16S rRNA". The stretch from base 389 to 516 matches the Rfam family "Bacterial large subunit ribosomal RNA", at positions 2473 to 2600 of the family's 2925-position model. Lineage: Eukaryota; Metazoa; Arthropoda; Insecta; Lepidoptera; Papilionidae. The record is from RNAcentral.